GCAGCAGUCACUUGGGAGCCACAGAACCCAAGCUAAGGGGGCUGCAGUCUGCAGCUUCUGUUCCCCGCUCUAUACCCUGAUUGUGGAGAGCCCUUGUUCCACACAAACAGUUUAGGUUCUGUGGACACAAAGCCCUGGGCAGGGCUGGACAUGCAGCUGGGCGCUGCCAGUAGCCGCUUUGGGCAGGCAAGGUCCACCUUCACGGUUCCACGGGGCUCUGGCGCCAGGGCCGCUGGGGUGGGGUCAGCCUUUGUUCCAUCUGUUUGCACCCAGGUGGGGCUCCCGGCCCUUCCUCUCCUCUGCUAGCUGCAGGCUCUUGGGUGUGGCUUCUUACUCCCAUUUUCCAUAGAAAGAAAGCAAACCACCUCUGGAAUUCUUAGGGACCAGCUCAGUGCUGCUCCAGACCCUCCUCCUGGUGCCCCGGCCCUGAGAUUAGAAAAGGAUCAGACUUCCAGCUGGAUCUCCAGGCCACAGAUGGGGGGCUGUGCCCCCUGGGAACUAUGUGGGGAAGAAUGGGGGCCAUUCAUCUGCCUGACCCUGAUCAGGGACAAACCUACCUGAGGUAGGACAGAGGACAAACAAGGUGGGGCGCAGUCCCCAAGGUGGGUGAGCCCUCAGUGAGUUUAUGAUGCAGAUAAUUCCAUUCAAUGCCAUGGGCUGUUUGGGUCUGUUGUUUGUAAAGGCAAUAUGAUAAAACGCUUCCAAACUUUAUCUGGGAAAGAUGAACAAGCAAGGCCAGCAGAAGAAAUCAGAAAAUUAGGGAAACUAAAGUGACAAGUAUGUAUGGGUAUAUGAAAUGCUUUCCCAUAUAAAACAAGAUUCUGUUAUCACAGCUCUUCAAACCUGGUGCUGGCUGUUAGAAUAAACACAUCAAUGGCAAGCCCAGAACAGAUCCUGUUAUUUACAAGUUCUGGGGAUGGAACCCACAGCCUGGAACGUGUUCUCCACCCCCAGCCCUGACUGCUCACUAAAGCAAGAUUGAAUCUGGAGCACAGUCUUCACGCCCCACCCAGCUGGCGGGUCCAGUCUGGUUCCCCUACAGACUGUCAGAGGGACACUGGGAAUGCAAUGAUUGUGUUUCAUCUUUCUAGGAACCAAACAGAAACACUGGUGAACAAAAAGGUGGGCAAGCCUGGGUGGUGAGGAGGGUGGGUGGAUAAACUGGCGCUUUAAGAAAUCGGCUUUAAGGUGACAAUUCUAGGUUGAGACUUGACUGUUACAUGGUGGUCUAAACAUCCUUUCCAAGCAGCUCUGGUCCCAGAGAUUUCCGGGAUGGCAUUACGGACAGGAUGGAGAGAUUGUACACACCCUACAUGCUCAGCCACAGAGGUGGUGGGCAAAUGCCCAAAGAAAUGAAAACAUCAAUGUAGACACGUGCUGGACGCCAGAGCCACCCACAAUAGCCGAACGAUGGUGGUGACCAGAUGGGAAUCCAGAGAGGAUGGAUGAACCCGAUGGGGUCCUUACAUACCAUGGAACAUCAUUUAGGCUUACAUGGGAAGGAAAUUCUGGCGCGAGCUGCCUGUGGAUGAAACUUGAGGAUGCUAACAAGCCAAACCACAGGACAAACACUUUAGGGGUCCACUUAUUCCACUUCCCAGGGCAGUGAAAUCCAUCACAGGUACUGGUGGUGUCCUGGGGCGUCUGGGACCAGGGCAGAGAUGGAGAUUGCAUUUCACCGGAGUGGUUUCUCUUCGGGAAGAUGGAGGCGGAUGGUGCUGGGGAUUGCAUAAUGCUGUGAAAGUGUAGAGCACCCUGGCCAAACACAGUCCCUAUGACAUCCCAGUGGAGGUUCACAUGGUGCUCACAAUGACAUCUAUGUGUAGACGGUUUUUUCCUUUCCUCCAUUUUCUAAAUGCUCUGUAAUAUGGGUUAAUAACGUUAAUGGUGAAAUUAAUAUUCUACACUAAUUAUGACAGAAUGGGAGUCAGUUUCCUAAAAAUAUGCAAAGAUUCAGAAUAAGAAAUGCAAUACAGAGUAAAAAGACCACCACCUUCAAAAAGAGAAACACACCCAGGAGGAUAAAGAGGUCACCUCCGACGUAAGUGGCAACAAGCAGCCAGCAAGCAUCCCCACAGGUAUCUGACUGCAGGAGGGACAAAACCACCCAGGGACACCCAGGUUUUACCUCUCACCUCAGCAAUCACGGCAGAGGCCAGGCAGACCCUGCAGGCUCCCAUGGGUGGAGCUGACCAGCAAUCCCGACUGUCUGGCCCAGAAAUCCCAGAAUGUCUGAGAAGUGGGUUGUAGAACAAUAUAUAAAACAUGAUGGUAUUUUUUGUUUUAAAAUGUUAGUCUAAGACUGGGCAAGGUGGCUUAUGCCUCAUAAUCCCUGCAUUUAGGAGGCUGAGGCAGGAAGAUUGCUGUAACUUCCGGGGCAGCCUGGGCUAUACAGUGAGUUCAAGGUUAGCCUGAAGUACAUAAGGAGACCCAGUCUCAAAAAAAUUAAAAAGUCUGUAUUUCAUUAAAUGUACAAUGUUUAUGGUUUUAUGUGUCAACUUACAUUUUUAAUUAAAAAAAUAAAAAUAUAAAAUA
Long non-coding RNA from Cavia porcellus (domestic guinea pig), 2535 nucleotides. RefSeq lists it as uncharacterized. The record is from RefSeq and is a predicted model, not a curated record. NCBI's taxonomy places the organism in Eukaryota, Metazoa, Chordata, Mammalia, Rodentia, Caviidae. The transcript has 2 exons.